GGGUCGUUAGCUCAGUUGGUAGAGCAGUUGACUUUUAAUCAAUUGGUCGCAGG
RNAcentral lists this transfer RNA (53 nucleotides) under Klebsiella oxytoca. RNAcentral's name for it is "tRNA-Lys". It matches the Rfam family "tRNA", at positions 1 to 51 of the family's 71-position model. From Rfam's summary of the family: Transfer RNA (tRNA) molecules are approximately 80 nucleotides in length. The record is from RNAcentral. Lineage: Bacteria; Pseudomonadati; Pseudomonadota; Gammaproteobacteria; Enterobacterales; Enterobacteriaceae.